Perca flavescens (yellow perch) is the source of this 219-nucleotide long non-coding RNA. RefSeq lists it as uncharacterized. Lineage: Eukaryota; Metazoa; Chordata; Actinopteri; Perciformes; Percidae. The transcript has 3 exons. The record is from RefSeq and is a predicted model, not a curated record.
GCCCAAAUAUAUAUCAUGUUUUUAUUCUCUUCAGACUGGUGGAGGGUCAUCAUGGUGUCUGUGGGUUUAGCAGCACUCAUAAUAACUGUUGUGGUGGUCAACAUAUGGAUGAGAACUAAAGGAAACAGAACCCAGAUGGACGGCAAUGCUGAGCAUCAUGAUGAAGAUGAAGGUACAGUGACCUAUGAAAACGUUGGAGAACCUUCUGUUUCUAUCAGA